RNAcentral lists this ribosomal RNA (484 nucleotides) under uncultured bacterium. Its description in RNAcentral is "partial 16S ribosomal RNA". It matches the Rfam family "Bacterial small subunit ribosomal RNA", at positions 30 to 507 of the family's 1533-position model. The record is from RNAcentral.
AUUGAACGCUGGCGGCAGGCCUAACACAUGCAAGUCGAGCGGAUGAAGGGAGCUUGCUCCUGGAUUCAGCGGCGGACGGGUGAGUAAUGCCUAGGAAUCUGCCUGGUAUUGGGGGAUAACGUCCGUAAACGGGCGCUAAUACCGCAUACGUCCUGAGGUAGAAAGUGGGGGAUCUUCGGACCUCACGCUAUCAGAUGAGCCUAGGUCGUAUUAGCUAGUUGGUGUGGUAAAGGCCUACCAAGGCGACGAUCCGUAACUGGUCUGAGAGGAUGAUCAGUCACACUGGAACUGAGACACGGUCCAGACUCCUACGGGAGGCAGCAGUGGGGAAUAUUGGACAAUGGGCGAAAGCCUGAUCCAGCCAUGCCGCGUGUGUGAAGAAGGUCUUCGGAUUGUAAAGCACUUUAAGUUGGGAGGAAGGGAAGUAAGUUAAUCCCUUGCUGUUUUGACGUUACCAACAGAAUAAGCACCGGCUAACUUCGUG